Etheostoma cragini (Arkansas darter) is the source of this 656-nucleotide long non-coding RNA. RefSeq lists it as uncharacterized. NCBI's taxonomy places the organism in Eukaryota, Metazoa, Chordata, Actinopteri, Perciformes, Percidae. The transcript is spliced from 3 exons. The record is from RefSeq and is a predicted model, not a curated record.
UAACUGCUGCCAGCUCACUGGGACCGCGGAUGUGGUUUCUUCAUUGUGGGUAGGACUACUUUCGGUGUAAGAUCGUUUUGUGGCUUCCUGUCGGUGUAGGUUGGUGGUUUUCAUUCGUUUUGUAGCUUUAGUAUUUGUGUUGUAGCGUUUAGGUUUUUGUUGAUCCCUCUCGGCCCCCCUUCGGACGUCGUCACCAAACUGGACCAAGCAGAGCUCAGGACCAGCAGAGGUCUUUAGUUUUUAUCUUUCUACAACAGAAGUCCAGUCACAUGAUCGUCCCAUCACUGCACUGGUUGUUCUCGUCCUCACUGCUGUCUACUGGAUUCAUUUUUUUACAAUAAGAAGGAAGGCAUGAAGUAAUGUCCAGAUCUCCAGGAACCAUCACCUUAUCAUGGGGGAGAGGUUUGUGUUGUCUGCAGCUUGGUGCUCCUGGUAUGGUCUCCCAUGGCAAAGUGGUCUCAGGUGAGGGUCCAGAUAAAGACUGGCUCAACGAGGAAGAGGUAGUUACCCUGCCCGGAGGAAGCCUGAGGCCACCGUCUGGAGCCAGGCCCAGAUGGAGGACUUGUCAGCGAGCGCCUGGUGGUCCGGUUUACCACGGACCCUGAUCAAGAUCUAAUGUAAUGCUUUAUUUUGGUGCUGAUGUUUUGCUUUUCAAU